This 199-nucleotide long non-coding RNA is filed under the name Eucalyptus grandis. RNAcentral's name for it is "long non-coding RNA (EGRA_LNC006095)". The record is from RNAcentral. Lineage: Eukaryota; Viridiplantae; Streptophyta; Magnoliopsida; Myrtales; Myrtaceae.
UUGAAGUCCAGCCCAAAUCCAGAACACAUCUCAGCUUGGGCUGAGAUUUGUUGGGCCCGUUUUAGGCCCGGCCCGAGUGUUCGCCGACGCCGCUGAAAAUUCGGAUUUCAGCUGCCGUCGCGCCAUCGUCGAGGUGAACUGGUUUCCGCAAUUAACCGGUGAGUUUAUUUACUAAACUCUUCUUAGUAGGCUAAUGACG